AGAACGAACGCUGGCGGCAUGCCUAACACAUGCAAGUCGAACGAGACCUUCGGGUCUAGUGGCGCACGGGUGCGUAACGCGUGGGAAUCUGCCCUCUGCUACGGAAUAACUCGGGGAAACUCGUGCUAAUACCGUAUGAUGUCGCAAGACCAAAGAUUUAUCGGCAGGGGAUGAGCCCGCGUAGGAUUAGCUUGUUGGUGAGGUAAAGGCUCACCAAGGCGACGAUCCUUAGCUGGUCUGAGAGGAUGAUCAGCCACACUGGGACUGAGACACGGCCCAGACUCCUACGGGAGGCAGCAGUGGGGAAUAUUGGACAAUGGGCGAAAGCCUGAUCCAGCAAUGCCGCGUGAGUGAUGAAGGCCUUAGGGUUGUAAAGCUCUUUUACCCGGGAAGAUAAUGACUGUACCGGGAGAUAAGCCCGGCUAACUCCGUGCCAGCAGCCGC
This 444-nucleotide ribosomal RNA is filed under the name uncultured bacterium. RNAcentral's name for it is "SSU rRNA". It matches the Rfam family "Bacterial small subunit ribosomal RNA", at positions 26 to 518 of the family's 1533-position model. The record is from RNAcentral.